UACGUAGGGGGCGAGCGUUGUCCGGAAUCAUUGGGCGUAAAGCGCGUGUAGGCGGUUCGGUAAGUCCGCUGUGAAAGUCGGGGGCUCAACCCUCGAAUGCCGGUGGAUACUGUCGGGCUUGAGUACGGAAGAGGCGAGUGGAAUUCCUGGUGUAGCGGUGAAAUGCGCAGAUAUCAGGAGGAACACCAAUUGCGAAGGCGGCUUCCUGGACCGAUACUGACGCUGAGACGCGAAAGCGUGGGGAGCAAACAGG
Molecule: ribosomal RNA, 253 nt
Filed under: uncultured bacterium
Lineage: Bacteria
Description: partial 16S ribosomal RNA
Rfam family: Bacterial small subunit ribosomal RNA
Source: RNAcentral